Molecule: long non-coding RNA, 476 nt
Organism: Drosophila nasuta
Lineage: Eukaryota; Metazoa; Arthropoda; Insecta; Diptera; Drosophilidae
Exons: 2
Source: RefSeq, a predicted model, not a curated record
AAUAAAGUUGUUGUAAUUUGUUAGACUUCGGUGGUACAUAGUCUAGCAGCUAUUCACAUCAACUUAAUCGCCUUUGCUUAGAGAGCAACUGGGCUUCGUUCUUCGAAAAUCUGGACUCACUCACAAGAGAGUAGAGUUAUCGUGAGCAUAAAUCGAAGUUGCUUACUCACCGGCACCACAUGGUUCUUGGCUCCCCAGCAGAUGGGCUUAAAGCUGCCUUUGCGUGUUGCCUCUUGAAAUUCGCCAAAUUGAUUUUCCCAAUCGUAGGAUAUCAGACGUGCCUCCAGAGUCAUGCCAGCCAAUUCGGGCGGUGAUGAAAUCAGCACGGGAUUUGAGUCGCUGCAAAGAGCAAGAACAAAAAGAAGAAGACAGAAGUGAAAAGAGAGUCAAAAUAACAUUAUUAACUUUAUUAUUAUUGUCAACUUUGAUUAGGACUUAAAAUUUAUUACAGCCCCAAAAGGCGCUUUGCCAGCAGA